GAUGAACGCUGGCGGCGUGCUUAACACAUGCAAGUCGAACGGAAAGGCGAUGAUUUUGCGGGGUGCUCGAGUGGCGAACGGGUGAGUAACACGUGAGUAACCUGCACUUGAAUUUGGGAUAACUUCAGGAAACUCGGGCUCAUACCGGAUAGGAGAUCCUGCUGCACGGUGGGGGUUGGAAAGUUUCGGCGGUUGGGGAUGGACUGGAGGCUUAUCAGCUAGUUGGGCGGGUAGUGGCUUACCAAGCCUUAGACGGGUAGUCGGCCUGGGAGGGUGACCAGGGACAAGGGUACUAAGGGACGGCCCAGACGCCAACGUUAGGCAGCAGUGGGGAGUAUGACACAAUGAGCGGAAGCCUGAGACGGCAGCGCCGCGUGCGGGAAGACGGCCUUCGGGUUAUAAACCGCUUUCGCCUGAGACGAAGCGUGAGUGACGGUAAUGGGUAAAGAAGCACCGGCUAACUACGUG
Molecule: ribosomal RNA, 468 nt
Filed under: uncultured bacterium
Lineage: Bacteria
Description: partial 16S ribosomal RNA
Rfam family: Bacterial small subunit ribosomal RNA
Source: RNAcentral